UAUUAUUUUAGAUGUAAAAUAUAUAAACUUGAGUAGUAGUAGAAUAAGGUCUUGAAACUUAAAGAAUUUGGCGGUAUUUUAGUCUAUUUAGAGGAAUCUGUCCCAUAAUCGAUAAUCCGCGUUGGACCUUACUUAGAUUAUAUGAAUAUGUAUACCGCUGUUGUUGAAAAUCUUUUUAGAGAUAAUUUUUUAAAAAUUUGUUAAAUAAUUUUUCAGGUCAAGGUGCAGUUUAUAUUUAAGAGGAGAUGGAUUACAAUAUUUAUUGAAUAUACGGAGUAUUGUUUGAAAAUUAACAAUAUAAAGGUGGAUUUAAUAGUAAUAUUAUGAAGAUUGUUAAUAUGAUUAUAGCUCUAAGAUAUGUACACAUCGCCCGUCGCUCUCGUUAUAUUUAAGGUGAG
Molecule: ribosomal RNA, 398 nt
Filed under: Episymploce tertia
Lineage: Eukaryota; Metazoa; Arthropoda; Insecta; Blattodea; Blattellidae
Description: partial small subunit ribosomal RNA
Source: RNAcentral